RNAcentral lists this ribosomal RNA (247 nucleotides) under uncultured bacterium. Its description in RNAcentral is "partial 16S ribosomal RNA". It matches the Rfam family "Bacterial small subunit ribosomal RNA", at positions 86 to 334 of the family's 1533-position model. The record is from RNAcentral.
AGAUGGCGACCGGCGCACGGGUGAGUAACACGUAUCCAACCUGCCGAUAACUCCGGAAUAGCCUUUCGAAAGAAAGAUUAAUACCGGAUGGCAUACGAAUAUCGCAUGAUAUUUUUAUUAAAGAAUUUCGGUUAUCGAUGGGGAUGCAUUCCAUUAGUUUGUUGGCGGGGUAACGGCCCACCAAGACUACGAUGGAUAGGGGUUCUGAGAGGAAGGUCCCCCACAUUGGAACUGAGACACGGUCCAA